This 1050-nucleotide ribosomal RNA is filed under the name Triticum aestivum (bread wheat). RNAcentral describes it as "partial small subunit ribosomal RNA". Lineage: Eukaryota; Viridiplantae; Streptophyta; Magnoliopsida; Poales; Poaceae. The record is from RNAcentral.
AUGUCUGAUAACAGUAUUCAACGAGCAUUGCUACCUGAUAACCCUGAUGCCAAUGUGCUCCAAACAAAGCCUUCGCAGGGAGCCAAGCGGUUCCGGAGAUGCAGGUCGGCUCCCAGAUCAGAGACCGAUGAAAAACCACAAGAAAAUGGCUCGUCGCUUCCAGCCAAGGAGUUGUUCAGCGUGGUGCGGCCGAGCUUCAGACUAGUAGGGUUCCUCCUAUUUCUCUACCUACUAGCAGGCGUCAUCGUCUUUUACCUUGUCAUGGAUCAGUUAUCUGGCAAGAGAACCAACAGAGUGCUUGACGCACUGUACUUCUGCAUUGUCACGAUGACAUCGGUUGGCUAUGGAGACCUUGUCCCUAACACAGACACGACGAAGCUGCUCGCCUGUGUUUUCGUCUUCACGGGCAUGGCGAUCAUUGCUCUCUUCGUGAGCAAGUCAGCAGACUAUCUCGUCGAGAAGCAGGAGGUGUUGUUCUUCAAGGCACUGCACAUGAACAUGAAGUGUGGCGAGGCCAAAAUGCUCAGACAAAUUGAGACAAACAAGACAAAGUACAAAUUCUACACGGCCGCUCUGCUUCUUGUGACGGCCAUUGUUGUGGGGACUGUUUUUCUCUGGAAGGUUGAGAAGCUGAGCCUUGUUGACUCCUUUUAUUGUGUCUGUGCCACAAUCACUACCCUGGGUUAUGGGGAUAAAAGCUUCUCGUCCCAAUUGGGGCGCACUUUCGCGGUGUUUUGGAUAAUUACAAGCACCAUAAUUCUGGCGCUGUUCUUCAUGUACCUCGCUGAGAUCUACACCGAGCGACGGCAGAAGAUGCUGGCCAAAUGGGUUCUCACACGGAGAGUAACAACCAUGGAUCUUGAAGCAGCUGAUCUGGAUAGUGAUCGGAAAGUGGGUGCUGCUGAAUUUGUCGUGUACAAGCUCAAAGAACUGGGGAAGAUCAGCCAAGAGGACAUAUCUUCUUUUCUAGAGGAGUUUGACAAACUCGACAUUGACCAGUCCGGCACGCUCUCCACAUAUGACCUUACUCAGGCACAAUCCGGUCAGUGA